This is a non-coding RNA of Xyrichtys novacula (pearly razorfish), 1668 nucleotides long. The record is from the annotation of a GenBank genome assembly. NCBI's taxonomy places the organism in Eukaryota, Metazoa, Chordata, Actinopteri, Labriformes, Labridae.
CCUUUAAACCAGCCUGCUCCUCCUCACAGACCCGACUGAGCCUCCAUCCCCCAGCCCCGCUGCUGCCUCGCUCUCAAACCGGCGGGGAGAACCGCGGAGCGCCGCGGAACACCGAAGAAAAGAUCCAGGAGGAGAACCGGAGAGAGCGGCUCACACAGAGGCAUCCAGGCCGACGAGGAGUGAGUGUGCGCCGGGGACGAUGGACGGAUACGGAUCGGUAGGUCGGUCGGUCGGACCGGGACUCUUUUUUUUUUUUUUUUUUGUCUUCCUGAAUCACAUCAACAAAGACUGAGACCACGUGACCUGAGGGAGGCCACUCCCACCGAGGGAGAGAGAGAGAGAGAGAGAGAGAAGGGGGGGGGGGGGCUCCAAUUUCAGCUCUAAUUAUAAUAAUAACAGUGAUAUUAGUAAUAGUUAUAGUAAUAUAAUGUUAAUAACGUGAUAAUAAACAGAGAGGAUGAGCAGCAGAAUAAUCAUAGAUUUUUUUUUAAUAAUCAGAUUUUAUUUUAUUUUCAUAAUUUACAUCAAAACAAAUAUUUUAAUUCAAAUAAGGUCGAAAAUGACAAGAAAAGGAGAAAACAUGAGGGUGAAAAACAACAACAACAACAGUGUGUCCUCAAUUAAAGAAAUAUGUGUCCUUGUAUUUAUUAAAAAAGUAUUUUUCAUCAUCAGCUCAGUCCAGGACCCCCUAAACCACCGUCUCCCCUCUGUAUAAUUUCACUUUGACCUUUAGGAAAGUAACCAAUAAGGAGCCUCUGUGUGUCCAUAAAGAUAUUAUUAUUACAUUUGAAUUUGGCUCUUAUCCUUUCCACCAAUAAACAUUCUUUGUACCUCUGAGUCACAGUGGAGGUUUGUUAAAUCGUUUACAGUUUCUGUCCAAAAAUCAAAGUUUAUUCAGUCAUUUUGAUCUUUUCUUACAUCCAGAACUCUGUUUUGAACUUUGAUAUUCUUGGACAUCUCCAGAAGUAUAUAUUUGUGUAUAUAUGUUCACAUCUGUUAACUUACAUUUAAGGCACAGUGGUGAUCUAUUAGAGUCAGAUUAGUUCAUAACCUGAGGUGUCCAUCUGUCUGAGAAAUAUUCGACUAUAUUUCUUUGAGUUGAUCACUGACAAUCAGAGAGUGAGCGGUCUGAAUGAAGGUGAAAUGUAGUGAAAUUAGAAUAAAAAUGUUGAGACAGAAUAAAUAAAUGUAAAUUUCAGAAAAUCAAAGUAGAUCAAAAUAUAAACUGUAAUUUUAAUAAAAGAUUACACAACUCUCAAAAUAAUCUGCAUUAGUCGAGUCAUUACCGCAGAAUCAUCAACCACAAACCUUUUUAUUUUAUUUUAUAAAACUUAAAAAUAAUAAACAUGUCAUUAGAUAUUUCUGACAAGCUCUCAAAUUUACUGUAAUGACUGUUUUUUUCUGCUUUUUCUCUGUUUCUGACUUCCUGCUCCUCACUAAUCUGAUGAUCAUGAAGAGAUUAAAAAUAUUCAGAUUAAAGACUCGCUAUCAAAUGGAGUCUUCUUUCUUUCUUUCUUUCUUUCUUUGAACACAGAGGAGCCUCAACAGUCGAGUCUCAGCCUGAUCAGUUUACAUCUUUUUAUCUCACAGAUAAUAAAUCAUAUUAUUUUACCUCUCACCUGCUUUUCUUAUGAACUCCAUUCCUCUGCCUGGACUGACUGUCUUUAA